RNAcentral lists this ribosomal RNA (497 nucleotides) under uncultured bacterium. Its description in RNAcentral is "partial 16S ribosomal RNA". It matches the Rfam family "Bacterial small subunit ribosomal RNA", at positions 28 to 507 of the family's 1533-position model. The record is from RNAcentral.
GAUGAACGCUGGCGGCGUGCCUAAUACAUGCAAGUCGAGCGAACAGACGAGGAGCUUGCUCCUUCGACGUUAGCGGCGGACGGGUGUGUAACACGUAGGUAACCUACCUAUAAGACUGGGAUAACUUCGGGAAACCGGAGCUAAUACCGGAUAAUAUUCCGAACCGCAUGGUUCGAUAGUGAAAGAUGGCUUUGCUAUCACUUAUAGAUGGACCUGCGCAGUAUUAGCUAGUUGGUAAGGUAACGGCUUACCAAGGCAACGAUACGUAGCCGACCUGAGAGGGUGAUAGGCGACACUGGAACUGGAACACGGUCAAUACUCCUGCGGGAGGCAGCAGUAGGGAAUCGUCCGCAAUGGGCGAAAGCCUGGCGGAGCAAGGCCGAGUGUGAGAUGAAGGUCUUCGGAUCGUAAAGCUCUGUUAUUAGGGAAGAACAAACGUGGAAGUAACUGUGCACGUCUUGACGGUAACUAAUCAGAAAGCCACGGCUAACUACGUG